GAUGAACGCUGGCGGCGUGCCUAAUACAUGCAAGUCGAGCGAACAGACGAGGAGCUUGCUCCUCUGACGUUAGCGGCGGACGGGUGAGUAACACGUGGAUAACCUACCUAUAAGGCUGGGAAAACUUCGGGAAACCGGAGCUAAUACCGGAUAAUAUAUUGAACCGCAUGGUUCAAUAGUGAAAGACGGUUUUGCUGUCACUUAUAGAUGGAUCCGCGCCGCAUUAGCUAGUUGGUAAGGUAACGGCUUACCAAGGCAACGAUGCGUAGCCGACCUGAGAGGGUGAUCGGCCACACUGGAACUGAGACACGGUCCAGACUCCUACGGGAGGCAGCAGUAGGGAAUCUUCCGCAAUGGGCGAAAGCUUGACGGAGCAACGCCGCGUGAGUGAUGAAGGUCUUCGGAUCGUAAAACUCUGUUAUUAGGGAAGAACAAAUGUGUAAGUAACUAUGCACGUCUUGACGGUACCUAAUCAGAAAGCCACGGCUAACUACGUG
Molecule: ribosomal RNA, 497 nt
Filed under: uncultured bacterium
Lineage: Bacteria
Description: partial 16S ribosomal RNA
Rfam family: Bacterial small subunit ribosomal RNA
Source: RNAcentral